UAGGGAAUCUUCGGCAAUGGACGAAAGUCUGACCGAGCAACGCCGCGUGAGUGAAGAAGGUUUUCGGAUCGUAAAACUCUGUUGGUAGAGAAGAACGUUGGUGAGAGUGGAAAGCUCAUCAAGUGACGGUAACUACCCAGAAAGGGACGGCUAACUACGUGCCAGCAGCCGCGGUAAUACGUAGGUCCCGAGCGUUGUCCGGAUUUAUUGGGCGUAAAGCGAGCGCAGGUGGUUUAU
This 237-nucleotide ribosomal RNA is filed under the name uncultured bacterium. RNAcentral describes it as "partial 16S ribosomal RNA". It matches the Rfam family "Bacterial small subunit ribosomal RNA", at positions 355 to 583 of the family's 1533-position model. The record is from RNAcentral.